UGGUUCGAUUCUGGCUCAGGAUGAACGCUGGCGGCGUGCCUAACACAUGCAAGUCGAGCGAUUUACUUCGGUAAAGAGCGGCGGACGGGUGAGUAACGCGUGGGUAACCUGCCCUGUACACACGGAUAACAUACCGAAAGGUAUGCUAAUACGAGAUAAAAUACUUUUAUCGCAUGGUAGAAGUAUCAAAGCUUUUGCGGUACAGGAUGGACCCGCGUCUGAUUAGCUAGUUGGUAAGGUAACGGCUUACCAAGGCGACGAUCAGUAGCCGACCUGAGAGGGUGAUCGGCCACAUUGGAACUGAGACACGGUCCAAACUCCUACGGGAGGCAGCAGUGGGGAAUAUUGCACAAUGGGCGAAAGCCUGAUGCAGCAACGCCGCGUGAGCGAUGAAGGCCUUCGGGUCGUAAAGCUCUGUCCUCAAGGAAGAUAAUGACGGUACUUGAGGAGGAAGCCCCGGCUAACUACGUGCCAGCAGCCGCGGUAAUACGUAGGGGGCUAGCGUUAUCCGGAAUUACUGGGCGUAAAGGGUGCGUAGGUGGUUUCUUAAGUCAGAGGUGAAAGGCUACGGCUCAACCGUAGUAAGCCUUUGAAACUGGGGAACUUGAGUGCAGGAGAGGAGAGUGGAAUUCCUAGUGUAGCGGUGAAAUGCGUAGAUAUUAGGAGGAACACCAGUUGCGAAGGCGGCUCUCUGGACUGUAACUGACACUGAGGCACGAAAGCGUGGGGAGCAAACAGGAUUAGAUACCCUGGUAGUCCACGCCGUAAACGAUGAGUACUAGCUGUCGGAGGUUACCCCCUUCGGUGGCGCAGCUAACGCAUUAAGUACUCCGCCUGGGAAGUACGCUCGCAAGAGUGAAACUCAAAGGAAUUGACGGGGACCCGCACAAGUAGCGGAGCAUGUGGUUUAAUUCGAAGCAACGCGAAGAACCUUACCUAAGCUUGACAUCCUUUUGACCGAUGCCUAAUCGCAUCUUUCCCUUCGGGGACAGAAGUGACAGGUGGUGCAUGGUUGUCGUCAGCUCGUGUCGUGAGAUGUUGGGUUAAGUCCCGCAACGAGCGCAACCCUUGCCUUUAGUUGCCAGCAUUAAGUUGGGCACUCUAGAGGGACUGCCAGGGAUAACCUGGAGGAAGGUGGGGAUGACGUCAAAUCAUCAUGCCCCUUAUGCUUAGGGCUACACACGUGCUACAAUGGGUGGUACAGAGGGCAGCCAAGUCGUGAGGCGGAGCUAAUCCCUUAAAGCCAUUCUCAGUUCGGAUUGAAGGCUGAAACUCGCCUACAUGAAGCUGGAGUUACUAGUAAUCGCAGAUCAGAAUGCUGCGGUGAAUGCGUUCCCGGGUCUUGUACACACCGCCCGUCACACCACGGAAGUUGGGGGCGCCCGAAGCCACUUAGCUAACCCUUUUGGGAAGCGAGUGUCGAAGGUGAAAUCAAUAACUGGGGUGAAGUCGUAACAAGGUACCC
RNAcentral lists this ribosomal RNA (1465 nucleotides) under uncultured bacterium. RNAcentral describes it as "partial 16S ribosomal RNA". It matches the Rfam family "Bacterial small subunit ribosomal RNA". The record is from RNAcentral.